UACAGAGGUCCCAAGCGUUGUUCGGAUUUACUGGGCGUAAAGGGUGCGUAGGUGGUCGGGUAAGUCCCAUGUGAAAUCUCCAAGCUCAACUUGGAAAUGGCAUGGGAUACUAUUCGGCUAGAGGAUUGGAGGGGGGACUGGAAUUCCCGGUGUAGCAGUGAAAUGCGUAGAGAUGUGGAGGAAUACCGAUGGCGAAGGCAGCCCCCUGGGGUAACACUGACGCUCAUGCACGAAAGCGUGGGGAGCAAACAGG
This 253-nucleotide ribosomal RNA is filed under the name uncultured bacterium. RNAcentral's name for it is "partial 16S ribosomal RNA". It matches the Rfam family "Bacterial small subunit ribosomal RNA", at positions 524 to 776 of the family's 1533-position model. The record is from RNAcentral.